This 372-nucleotide ribosomal RNA is filed under the name uncultured organism. RNAcentral's name for it is "bacterial SSU rRNA". It matches the Rfam family "Bacterial small subunit ribosomal RNA", at positions 526 to 896 of the family's 1533-position model. The record is from RNAcentral.
CGGAGGGUGCGAGCGUUGUUCGGAAUCACUGGGCGUAAAGCGCGUGUAGGCGGCCCACUAAGUCUGAUGUGAAAGCCCGGGGCUCACCCCCGGAAGUGCAUUGGAAACUGGUGGACUCGAGUCCCGGAGAGGAGAGUGGAAUUCCUGGUGUAGCGGUGAAAUGCGUAGAUAUCAGGAGGAACACCGGUGGCGAAGGCGGCUCUCUGGACGGUGACUGACGCUGAGACGCGAAAGCGUGGGGAGCAAACAGGAUUAGAUACCCUGGUAGUCCACGCCGUAAACGAUGAGCACUAGGUGUCGCGGGUAUUGACCCCUGCGGUGCCGACGCUAACGCAUUAAGUGCUCCGCCUGGGGAAUACGGCCGCAAGGUUA